RNAcentral lists this ribosomal RNA (576 nucleotides) under Geomyces sp. DU37. RNAcentral describes it as "eukaryotic LSU rRNA". The stretch from base 211 to 364 matches the Rfam family "5.8S ribosomal RNA". Lineage: Eukaryota; Fungi; Ascomycota; Leotiomycetes; Thelebolales; Pseudeurotiaceae. The record is from RNAcentral.
UCGGUCCGUUUCCGUAGGUGACCUGCGGAGGUCAUUACAGUAGUCACCCGGGUUGCCGCAAGGCCUCUCGGGUAACCUACCACCCUUUGUUUAUUACACUUUGUUGCUUUGGCAGGCCUGCCUUCGGGCUGCUGGCUCCGGCCGGCGAGCGCUUGCCAGAGGAUCUAAACUCUGUUUGUCUAUACUGUCUGAGUACUAUAUAAUAGUUAAAACUUUCAACAACGGAUCUCUUGGUUCUGGCAUCGAUGAAGAACGCAGCGAAAUGCGAUAAGUAAUGUGAAUUGCAGAAUUCAGUGAAUCAUCGAAUCUUUGAACGCACAUUGCGCCCCCUGGUAUUCCGGGGGGCAUGCCUGUCCGAGCGUCAUUACAACCCUCAAGCUCUGCUUGGUGUUGGGCCCCGCCGCCCCGGCGGGCCCUAAAGUCAGUGGCGGUGCCAUCCGGCUCCGAGCGUAGUAAUUCUUCUCGCUCUGGAGGUCCGGUUGUGUGCUUGCCAUCAACCCCCAAUUUUUUUCAGGUUGACCUCGGAUCAGGUAGGGAUACCCGCUGAACUUAAGCAUAUCAAUAAGCGGAGGAAGU